Tupaia belangeri chinensis (Chinese tree shrew) is the source of this 272-nucleotide long non-coding RNA. RefSeq lists it as uncharacterized. NCBI's taxonomy places the organism in Eukaryota, Metazoa, Chordata, Mammalia, Scandentia, Tupaiidae. The transcript has 3 exons. The record is from RefSeq and is a predicted model, not a curated record.
GUCAUCUUUGGAGGUUCUGGCCCCUGCUCCUGUUCUAGGGACUGCCUGCUCAUUUCUAGCUAACUGCCUAUCACAGUUUUUGCCUGAAAAUUGCUGUGGUUUUUGCACGAAAAUUGGUGCAGUCCUUGCCUGAGACCUUCUGAAUGGCUUCUAGCUGUCUCCUAAUUUCAUGGAUGAACUCUCCCCGGCGCGUUAGCUGCUCCUGAAAACUUGUGAGAGGACUGAGGAAGACGACCAGGUCGGCAUCAGAGCGGCCCCUGAGGGUGGUGCCU